Molecule: ribosomal RNA, 440 nt
Filed under: uncultured bacterium
Lineage: Bacteria
Description: partial 16S ribosomal RNA
Rfam family: Bacterial small subunit ribosomal RNA
Source: RNAcentral
CCUACGGGCGGCAGCAGUGGGGAAUAUUGCACAAUGGGGGAAACCCUGAUGCAGCGACGCCGCGUGAGUGAAGAAGUAAUUCGUUAUGGAAAGCUCCAUCAGCAGGGAAGAAAAUGACGGUACCUGAGUAAGAAGCUCCGGCUAACUACGUGCCAGCAGCCGCGGUAAUACGUCGGGGGCAAGCGUUAUCCGGAUUUACUGGGUGUAAAGGGAGCGUAGGAGGUAGUGCAAGUCCGGAGUGAAAGGGGGGGGCUCAACCCCCGGACUGCUGUUGAAACUGUGCGGUUGGAGUGCAGGAGAGGUAAGUGGAAUUCCUGGUGUAGCGGUGAAAUGCGUAGAUAUUAGGAGGAACACCAGUGGCGAAGGCGGCUUACUGGACUGUAACUGACGUUGAGGCUCGAAAGCGUGGGGAGCAAACAGGAUUAGAUACCCGAGUAGUC